UCUCUAGUUUGCUGCCUCCGCCACCCCUCGCUCCGCGGCCCUCUUACACCGACGCCCGCAACCUCCACUGUCCUCCCCUGCUCGGCCGCCACGACCUUGGCGGCCUCUACUCGGCCGCCUUCCCUGGCUUGACCCCGACGUCCACUGCUCGCCCGCCUCCCCUGGCUCGGCUCCGGCGACCUCAAGGUACCUGCUCGGCGGCCCUCGCCUGCUCCGGCCGUCGGCGCCCCUCGCCUGGCUCGGCCCCGGCGACCUCGACGUCACCGCACCUGCCGGCCCUUCUCCGCCGACCACACCACCUGGCCCUGCUCCAACGACCGAGCCACGCCCUGCUCCGUGAUCGGCUUCAACCACGCCGAUUACUGUAAUGGGUAGACUCGGCAAGGCUUCCGAGCUGAAUAUUCGCAUACAAUCUUCUUUUGACACUGAUGAUUCGGGAGGCAAAAAAUGUUCCCAAUGACUUUGCUGAAGAUGAUUCAUACCCUAUUUCCCAGGAUCUGUUGAUGGAUGAUGAUAAUUUUGUUAAAGGUUUGUAUGAUUUCAAUGCGACCCAUAAAGUGAAAUGUCUGAAAUGGAAGCAAACAUCUGUUGGUGCUAGAAAUGAGGGAAAGGCAAGGCCCCUGAAGUCUCAAUCCCUAUGAAGAAUGCUGGAGAAGCUUAGACAAAGCAAAAUUGGGGUGAGGGAUGCUCUGCUGUGUUGCAUCUGCCAUUGUUCCUUCCAGCACCAACCUGUUGAGCCAUGAGAUCUGAACCAAUGAAUUCAGAUAACAUCUACCAUGUUUACGGAUCACUACAUGUCCCGUUGGAACAAUGUGAAAUCCCUUUUUCGGACGAACAACAGGUUUGCUACUUAAUUCUCAAAAAAGUCGUUCUUUCGCAUCACCAUGCUGUGGAACCAUGAGGUCUGAUCCAAUAAAUUCAGAGAACGUUUACUAUGUUUAUGGAUCACUAUAUGUCCUGCUGGAACAAGGUGAGAUCCUUUUUCAGUAACCAUUUCAUUUCAACACGCAUCAUGCUUUUCCGAAUAUAACUGAACAUCUGAAGCAGCCAUGGUGUACUGGUGUAUAUUUUUUAACAUAGCCAGUCAGCACCUCCCUGUUUGAUUGCUAUAUACUUCCUUGUGAGAAAAUUAUAAGGGCAGCCCGGUGCAUGUAGCUUCCGCUUGUGCAGGGUCCGGGGAAGGGUCCGGCCACUUUCUUGCUAGAAAAUUAUAAGGGAUUUUCUUAAAUACUCCAAAAGAAAGAAUGAUGCUCUAGCAUUCAUCUAUUGUCAUUUGUUCUCUUCUAUACAUGACAUUGAUGCCCUAUGUUUGGGUAAUAUGUAUAGAAUUAGUUCUGUUCUACAAGGCCCUGAUAUCGUCGCAUUGAUGAGUUGAUAGAAGCAGAAAUGAUCUUAUAAAAGUUUACAGAGGGAGUACAUGUGGUAGGAGCUAGGGCCCUACCGGAUCUAGGGCGUAGGUUGUAGGGGAAGGAGGGGGAAGGGCGAGGGCUGGUGCGCAGCGGCCGGCGGCGUGGCGCCGUCCUUGUGACGGGAGCGGCGGCGGCGAAGGCAGGAGGCGGCUAGGGUUUAGGUCUCCCGGCUCC
Aegilops tauschii subsp. strangulata is the source of this 1583-nucleotide RNA transcript. RefSeq lists it as uncharacterized. The record is from RefSeq and is a predicted model, not a curated record. Lineage: Eukaryota; Viridiplantae; Streptophyta; Magnoliopsida; Poales; Poaceae.